This 766-nucleotide ribosomal RNA is filed under the name Agrobacterium sp. J103. RNAcentral's name for it is "bacterial SSU rRNA". It matches the Rfam family "Bacterial small subunit ribosomal RNA", at positions 45 to 865 of the family's 1533-position model. Lineage: Bacteria; Pseudomonadati; Pseudomonadota; Alphaproteobacteria; Hyphomicrobiales; Rhizobiaceae. The record is from RNAcentral.
GGCUUAACACAUGCAAGUCGAACGCCCCGCAAGGGGAGUGGCAGACGGGUGAGUAACGCGUGGGAACAUACCCCUUUCUGCGGAAUAGCUCCGGGAAACUGGAAUUAAUACCGCAUACGCUACGGGGGAAAGAUUUAUCGGGGAAGGAUUGGCCCGCGUUGGAUUAGCUAGUUGGUGGGGUAAAGGCCUACCAAGGCGACGAUCCAUAGCUGGUCUGAGAGGAUGAUCAGCCACAUUGGGACUGAGACACGGCCCAAACUCUACGGGAGGCAGCAGUGGGGAAUAUUGGACAAUGGGCGCAAGCCUGAUCCAGCCAUGCCGCGUGAGUGAUGAAGGCCUUAGGGUUGUAAAGCUCUUUCACCGAUGAAGAUAAUGACGGUAGUCGGAGAAGAAGCCCCGGCUAACUUCGUGCCAGCAGCCGCGGUAAUACGAAGGGGGCUAGCGUUGUUCGGAAUUACUGGGCGUAAAGCGCACGUAGGCGGAUAUUUAAGUCAGGGGUGAAAUCCCGCAGCUCAACUGCGGAACUGCCUUUGAUACUGGGUAUCUUGAGUAUGGAAGAGGUAAGUGGAAUUCCGAGUGUAGAGGUGAAAUUCGUAGAUAUUCGGAGGAACACCAGUGGCGAAGGCGGCUUACUGGUCCAUYACUGACGCUGAGGUGCGAAAGCGUGGGGSGCAAACAGGAUUAGAUAYCCUGGUAGUCCACGCYGUAAACGAUGAAUGUUAGCCGUCGGCAGUAUACUGUUCGGUGGCUGCSUGACGCAUUAAAC